Molecule: long non-coding RNA, 6438 nt
Filed under: Gallus gallus (chicken)
Lineage: Eukaryota; Metazoa; Chordata; Aves; Galliformes; Phasianidae
Source: RNAcentral
GCGGGCGCGGGGUGCCGGCAUGCGGCCGGCCGGCGCGGCGGCGGCUGCGGGGCUGCUGGGGGCGGCGGCCGCGGGCGCGGCGAAGCUGGCACUGGGGGCGCGUCCCCUGAGCGGCGGGGAGGCGGCCGGCGGCUGGGUAAGGAAGGAGGAAGCCGGAGCGGGCGGGCUCCCGCCCUAAGUUACCGUCUGCGGCCUCUCCCAGUCGGCUCCGGGCAGGCGCUGCGCGGCCUGUCGCGGUUCGCAUCUGAUGGAGAAGUGCAGGCGGGCUCCUCGUGCUCCAGCGGGUGCCGCUUUGCUCUUUCUGCCCUGUCCGCGGGACGAGCCGCAGACUGCCGUGUCCCUCCCCUUCCCCGUAGGGCUGCUGCGCGGCACCCGUCACAGCGCUCCGUGUCCUCACCGUGGAGAUGUGCUAAACGUUUGGGGUACAGGGAGACGCUGAGGUCAGCGGGUGUCUGGGAAACGCAGCAAGAGAUUCCGUGUGUCUGAGAGUGGUAGGAAGGAGAAUGAACGUUCUGAAUCCAGGUGCUCUCUGGUUCCCUCCGAAAGAUUCUGCUCUGCACUGUCAAAAAAGUAAAGCAUGGUGAAGGGGCCUGGGCACCCCUAAUGUGGGGAGUAACUGAGAGCUGGGACCGCUCAGCUGGAGAGGAGGAGGCUCGUGGGGGUGUCAUCCCCAUCCAUAAACCCUGACCCCUUCCCCUGACACAGCUCCAUGCCGUUCCCUCGGGCCCUGUCGCUGUCACACAGAGCAGAGCUCAGCGCUGCCCCUCCGCUCCCUGUGAGGAGCUGCGGCCGCCAUGAGGCCUCCCCUCAGCUCCCCUGCUCUGGGCUGAGCAAACCAAAGAACUUCAGCUGCUCCUCGUACUCUCUGCCCUUCAGACCAUUCCCCAUCUUUGUAGCCCUCCUUUGGAUGGUCUCGUAGUUCCGUGUCCAUCUUAGAUUGUGUUGCCCAGAACUGCACUCAGUGCUGGAGGUGAGGCCGCAGAGCACAGCGGGACAACCCCUUCCCUCAGCCGGCUAUCAGUGUGGGCCUGAUGCACCCCAGGUCCGACCACGUUGGACGAGGAGAACUCCAGAGGCAGAACUCCAGAGCUCAGCCGUGCUCUAAUCCUGUGACUACGUUUAAAGUUUGAGUUUUGCAUUUGAGGAAGAACUGCAGAAAUCUAGAAAUGCGCCUUAAAAAGCUGCCGACGCUUGUAUAGCAUGGGAAGUGGUAGAUGUUAAGUGUACUGGUGCUUCUGAGAGGUGGUGACACAGAGCUUCAGGAUGCUCAAUAGCCUCACAGAGACAGAUCUCCAGGGCAGACGGAUGUGUGCUGGCCCCACCUGAGAGCGACCUCACCACGAGGGGUCAUUUUGCCUGAACAAAGCCUUUUCUUUACUUUCCCCUCUCUCUUGCCAACCUCCGUCUAAAUAUGCUUCUGCCACUUCAGCGGUGAUUCUGGAUUAUCUGGAAUGUACACUGAAUUAAUCUCGUCUUAGAAAAGCAAUCAGAAGAGUAAUCUUUGACUCACUGGGCUGGCUCUGCUGAGCCCUUUGCAGGGAAGGAAUUACACCUCCGUCCUUCCUUGUGGGAAGCACACGGGGAUGUUCCCAUCUCUGCACUGCAUGCUAUUGCCAUGAUCGUUCUUCUGCCUGGGAUGCAGAAGGAUUCACCCUCUCUGGAAAACCUUCCUUUGGGCAUGUGCCACCUCCAGAGCAUGCUACAGCUGAGUUCAUUGCUCUACAGUAGAAGUUCAGCGGUGGAGUUGUUUUUGAAGACAGCCAGCUUCGUUCCAAGGCUUGUAGGCUCAUGGACUAACCCGGGUCAGGCAGCCAAAGGUCUCUUGUUCAGCCCCAGCAGGGCUGGCUGAUUGCUCAUGGCCUUCUUCAGUCAAGCUUGGAACACCUCCAAGGUUACAGAACCUGCAGCCUCUGCUUCAGUGCUUUUGUUUUCCCUUGUGUUGUAUCAACAUUUCCCCUUUCCUAACCUAGACUAACUGCCCUUUGUCAUACCCCAAUGUAACACACUGAGGAGCCUGGCUCCACCACCUCUUCACCUUCUCGGUGGGUAGCUGGAGACAGUAAUGAGAUCUUCUUAUCUUAAGGCCCUUUCUCCUCACAGUCUGUCUUGAUAGGCUCUUUUUGAUCCAGAGAAGAAUAUACUGAAUUUUUAUAAAACAUAGAGAUAUUUUUCAUAUCUUUCAAAUCUACCUGACCUCUGGUGGCCUACGUGGACACACCGAGCUGCCCUGGCCAAGGCAAAAUGUCCAUUAAUCCAGGCAGAGGGAGAGGCCACGUGUAAGAAGCUGUCCGGAAGGCAAUCCCCAUCCUUCAGCGACCCAUGGCAUAGCAGCAGAUUUCUUCCUCGAAGGACCGGUGCGUCUGGGUCUGGCUGACCCUGUGAUCCCUCUCGGCAGGGUUUGCCAGGGCGGUGAUGUGUUGGUGUAAAGGGCCUCAUGCCGCAAAGCAUUCCACAGGUGGGAAUUGUUUGGGAAUGUUUGCCAUUGCCUUGAUAAAGUUAGAGGACUUUGCUACCAAUGGGGCAAAAUGAGGCCAAACACGUGAACUCUGUGGGAUUGGGGUUAACCUUGGAGACCUUGUGCCAGCCAUCAAGGAGGGUUUUGGUUUUGUUUUGAUGUGACAGAAGGAAAGGAUGCCACCCAAAGGGACCUUGACUCACUAGAAAGGUGGACCCACGUGAACCUCACUGUGGUUCAACAAAGCCAAGUGCGAGGUGCUGCACUUGGAUUGAGGUAAUCCCAGGUAUGUGUACAGACUGGAAGAAGAACUCACUGAGAGUAGCCCUGCUGAGAAGGACUUAGAGGUCCUGGCAGAUGAAAAGUUUGACAUGAGCCAUCAGUGUGCACUUGUAGCCCAGAAGGCCAACAGUACUGUGAGCUGCAUCAGCAGAGGGGUGGCCAGCAGGGAGUGACUCCCUCAGUGUUUGCAGGAGUUAUUCUGCCUGCGACGUCAUCCCUUGGGGCCUUCACAUCAACUGCACAACACUGAGAGGUUAGGGAAUGGGCCACAGCAGCUUGAACAGUGGAUAUUGGGUAGACUGCAAGAGUUAAAGAGUUUUUAGGCAAAGCUGUGCUCUUACACAGUGCUGAUGUGCAGCAGCAUUCCAGUCUGACAAGGACAAAUAUGACCCUUCUCCAUAUGUCUGGUGAUGGACAGGCACUUCACUGCAUGGUGUGUGCACCAAGUUGUGAGGCCAGGAGCUUUCUGGCCUUUGGCAGCUGCUGUACACUGUCCCAGCACUUCUCGGCUUGUACUGUGAGGCUGGAUUCACGGUAAGAUGCCUCAGAGCCAUGCUCCAUCCAGGGCUGUUUUCUUGUUCCUGUUGCCUUCUGUAAUGUAAUACAUUCAUCUUCAUGUAAUACCAUCUGUAACUCAGUUUCAAGCCCUCGCUACUUCAGUUUCACUCCGAAGUGUCCAUGUUAUAGUGAGGCUUCAUAAGUAGUCAGUGAAAAUAAUCAGGCUUUUCCCUUUUGUCCCGCAGCUGCCUGUGCUACUCCACGUGGGCUGCAUUGGCUUGGUGUGUGCAUGCAAUGCAGUAAUGUGGACAGUCUUUGCAAAAGCCCUGCGACUGUCCUCCUCCUCAGCCUCUGCCUCUGUGACCACAACGGCCUCCAACUUCAUCUCUUCGGCCAUCCUGGGCAAGCUUCUCUUUGGGGAGACAUGGACACCACUGUGGUGGGUUGGCCUCACUGUGACGCUCUGUGGCCUUGUGCUGCUGCACACUGCUGCACCCCAGCCGACACUGCACAUGGUGGAGAAGAAGGGGUUGUGACAUCUCUCCUUUCUCCAUUUCCAGCUUGGAUAAUGCUUCAGCUAUUGCCACCUCCAGGUCCCAACCAGGUCCUCACACCAUGCACUUUCUCGGUCUCCUCAUUCUGUGCCAGAGCCUACUGAGUGCUGUCAGACCUGCCCAGCUCCCUUGCACCUUUCUCCAUCAGUCUGCAAAGUUGUGCAGGUUGCAUUUUCCAUGGUUGGCCAGGGCAGCCAUUCCGGGUGCCUGGUGGAGGUGUGGCAACAGUGACAACCUGAGGGAAAGCUGAUCAGUCUGAGUCAGUUCUCUAGAAACCAGAGCCAGAACUUAUCAGCCACCCCUCCUCUUCACACCCUGUGCUGAUGGAGCCUUGCCAGUGCCAGGACGGGAGGGAUAAAGUAAACAUAGUGGCUGUGGAAGGUGACCGUACGUUGGUACUUUUCCAUAAGAGGAACCAUCCCAAAAUGGAAAAGCAACCAGAACCAGGCACUGAAGGUUGUGGACAUUUCUGCCCUGCUGGUGGUGAUUUUCCUUGCUGCCUCUUGGAGAGGCCUCAUGCUUGCUCCAGGUUCCUAUUGUCUGGAAAGCGGUGGAGCAUUCCAUUAAUUCCUUUGGCUGCCUCUAUCACACACACCUUUUGACUUGCCAUUACGUCUGUUGCCUGUAAUUCCCAGUUUCCCAUUCCUGACGUGUUGCUCACUGUAAGGGGUUGCUUUUUCCUUUAAACUCUUAACCAGCACUGAUUUUUUAUUGCUAUUUCUGGUUAGUGUAUGUCAUACUGUAAUAUGGGGAGAACACCAUGCCAUCAGCCAGCCCUCUUCAUUAUGAGUGACCGUGAUGUACACUCAUCACUUGAGCUGACAAUUGCUUUAAGUAAAAAUGGUUUUUCUCAGGCAACAUUUUUUUUCACUUCUGGAUGGUGCUAUUUUCCAUUUGUGCAAUGUAAUUAAAUAAAUCUCUGGUUCCCUCUCGUGCUAAAUUUUGGGUAAGUGAUUACUCGUUGUUGCCAGAAUGAAAUGCUUGCCAGUAUGUUACACGUGGCAAGAAUCAUCAUUUACAAGGUGUUGGUUUCUUUCCCCUGCCUGCACGCACUUGUUUUCCAUGGUAAUUUUUGAUUGCAAUCCUAAUAAAGAAUCAUAAUGAUGCCUAAAAAUGUAUGCAUCAUGCUGGUGAUACCAUUUGUUUGCUCUGGGCUUGCCAAGUUGUGUCUUCUUGUAACUGCAGUAAGUGAGUCACAGUCAUGGCAUGUGCAGAAAACCCAAGGACACGUUUGUGUGAGCCUCAUUAUCAGGACCUGUCAUGCUUGUAUUAGCUGGCAGAUCAGCUCCGUGCCCAACAGGAUUGUAAAAAUAGACUUGUAGGUGGAAAUGCAACUGGAGUUGGAUUUGUGCCUUUUCCUUCUUGAUAUCAGAUAGUUACAAAGUCGCUGUCCCCUUGCUGUAAGUCCCCUGCUUCAAGGGAGUGCCCUCACUCAUGGCACUUGCCACCUGUGUCCUGAGAGGCCGCUUUGCUUUUCCCCCUUACUGUGCUCAUAAGUCUUUUCGUCCAAGAAAGCAGCAUUGGUGGGAAAGGGGACAGAGUGCUCCCAAUGCCUAUUCCUAAUAAAUGUGGAGAAGGCUUUUUGGAGGCCAGCGAGGACAGAUUGAGUGGGAUAUGUCCGUUGGCCUUGGAGGCAGGGCCAUGUUGCACUGAGAGACAGACAGAGGAGAGGUGUUUCUUAUUUGAUUAGGCUGGCUGGUAACUGGCGAUGGAUUGGUUUGAAUUGGCUUAAUUCACAUGUGCUAGACAAGCGGAAAGGCAAACAUUGGCCAGCUCUGUCUGACACAGGAUCUGCUGAGCUGCCAAUGAGCUGCCAUGACUCAGGGCAUUAGAAAGGAAGUUGCUGCAGUCAAUGGCUGAAACAGCAGCAAGCCUAGGGCAGCCCUUGCUCCUGCACGCUUGAACCCCUCGGUGGGAGCAGAAAACAGCUGCUAGGAGCUAAGAACCAUCAUCAUCCCUUGUCUGUCUGCAGAGCUGUCAACCAAGAACUGGCUUUUUCCAAGCCUAUGAAAUCUCAUUAGACCUUCACAUGUGACUGAGAAAUAACGAAGGCUACAAGCCUAGUUUGUUUACUCUGGUGUGUUGCUUCAAAGUAUGACUGGCUCCCAGCCAGCUAUAAGCCUUCAAGCAAGUGGCCGGAGAAAGACCAGGCUGGCAGUGGUUGAGAUAUCUGGUCUGUGGAUAGCCACAGUGCCCACAGCACUGGUUGAGAUAUCUGGUCUGUGGAUAGCCACAGUGCCCACAGCACUGUGCGACGCGUCCACCUUGUGCCUUGCUCCUUGCCCUUGGCUCAGUGUGCACAAAAUCUCCAAAGCAAAAUGUGGAAUUUACACUGCAUCCUUCCAGGCUCUGAGGAAACCGUAUCCCGAUUCUCACCUGGCAUUGCCCAUGAGUAAGGACUUCUACCAAAUGAGCGUCAAGCUCACUUCUAAGUCCAGUGCUAGGCGGAGGAACAAGAAGUUUAUUCUUCCCUAUUACUUUUUGAGCUCGUUGGUUAAUUUGAUUGUUGCUGCCCUUCCUUUUUCAUAGUUCAAAACUGCUAGUUCUUCAUUUCAGAAUCAUUGCAUGCAAGGUCUAGGAGAUGUUCGUACAUCCACAGAAAGCAUGGGCAACAUUUUCCUUUGUGAUACUUUGAAGACAGAAUAAGAU